GGAUGACGGUACCCAAAGCAAUAAGCACCGGCUAACGUUCGUGCCAGCAGCCGACGUUAAUCACGAAGGCGUGCAAGAGUUACCUCGGAUAAUUACUGGGCGUAUACGCGUGCGUAGGUGGUUAUUGUAAGUCCGUUUGUGAAAGCCCUGGGCUCAACCUGGUGAACUGCAGUGGAUACUGGAUGACUAGAAUGUGGUAGAGGUAGCGGAAUUCCUAGUGUAGCACGUGAAAUGCCGUAGAGAUCAGGAGGAACAUCCAUGGCGAAGGCAGCAGCUACCUGGACCAACGUUGACACUGAGGCACGAAACGUGGGGAGCCAACAGGAUUAGAUACCCUGGUAGUCCACGCCCUAAACGAUGCGAACUGGAUGUUGGGUGCAAUUUGGCCCCCAGUAUCGAAGCUAACGCCUUAAGUU
This 416-nucleotide ribosomal RNA is filed under the name Pseudomonadota bacterium. RNAcentral describes it as "bacterial SSU rRNA". It matches the Rfam family "Bacterial small subunit ribosomal RNA", at positions 467 to 866 of the family's 1533-position model. Lineage: Bacteria; Pseudomonadati; Pseudomonadota. The record is from RNAcentral.